This is a long non-coding RNA of Orbicella faveolata, 1521 nucleotides long. The record is from RefSeq and is a predicted model, not a curated record. NCBI's taxonomy places the organism in Eukaryota, Metazoa, Cnidaria, Anthozoa, Scleractinia, Merulinidae.
AACAAAAAUUUUAGCGCCAGUUUUUUCUAAGGGUAAAGAAAUAGGGAUAUAGGAAUCAGAAAUUAGAUAUUUCGGAAGCCCUGACAGGCGGAAGGAGUUCUUGUUUCAUCAAGAUGUUCGUUAAUCUUCCAUCAUGUUACGUUCUCCCCACAUACGCGGGCGUCUCAGUUAUCUGGGCAGCCACUCAAUAACAAGAUAUCGGAGAAAAGCUGGAGAGUCUUGAGUGUUUGGGCCUUUGUGUACGCAGUGUUGGUGUCGACAAAAUUCCAAGGAGAGUUACUCUGUAGUUUAGCUGUGGUGUAUUACAAGAGCAAACGUUCAUACACAUCCAAGUGUGUCAGAAAAGGUUGAAACAAUGAAAACGUCGCUUAUUCUCCUGGCAGCACUGAGCGUGGCACUUCUUCUGCACGCCUCACGCCACACCCACGCUUCAGAGCUCUCUCAGCUACUGGACAUGGAGAUACGAGACCUUAAGGAUGAGAUUGAAAAGAGAGGGAGAAAACGAAAACCCUGCGGGUUUACUUGGUUUUGUGGACGAAGACGAAGCAGGCGUAGUCAUGGAAAAAGGAGUGGAAUAUCCCACCAUUCAAUAUCGUUCAACUCCUUCGGUUCCGAUGAUAUGGACGACAUUUUGAAUAAGAAUGUACUCAAUGAUGAUUAAUUGUUUAGAUAUAGUAUAGCAAUUUCAGUUGUGUUUUAAAAUUCAUUGACAUAGAAAGCGAAGUGCCUCUGGCUCGAGAUUGUAAUUGUUUAAGACUCAUUGUGUUGCAUUACACCAUUAGUUUUACUUUGGCGAGAUGAUUUUUGAUGUAGUGGUUGAACUAAAAAAGGAACGAAGCUACGACAUAAAACCACUAGGAAUGAAAAAAAUACUAUGAUUGAUGAAAUAAUGAUAAUGGAGGAAAUUUCUACAAUCAACCUUGUUAAUCUAUGAUCUCCAUCUCUUAGUAUAAGAGGAUAUAUAUGAAAAGUAUUCAAAAACAUGACACCCACUCUUUAGUGUAACCUGUUUAACCCGAAUAUUGUAAGUGAUUUGGUUUGGGGAAAUCUUGUAACUCUUAAAUUGUAACAAUAAAUGCAUCUAAUGGAAGAUAACUUCUCUUGCUGAUUACUCUGUUCAUGGCAUUCAGGUUUUUUUUUAAUAUUUAGUACAUGCAUUCCAUUUGGUCGUGCAUCUGCGCAUGCUCUCCUCACCUAGACCGUGACAUGCAUGAUGGUGUCUGUCUUCAGUUCCUUGCUCGCAGUUGGAGGAUUGGGCCAGAGAUAAGUUGGCUUCAUCUAUCCCUUUUGUUUCUCUUUUCUGCAGCCCGUGAUGUUAAACGCAUCAAAAUUACGCUCUCUUUCUACAGUUCGUCUCCACGUUUCUCUUGGUAGUCUUCGAUUUCUUUUGACGUUGCCUGUACCACGUGACUAACUUGAAACUUUCCACUCGUCAUAUACCAUGGCUAAGGUGAAUUAUUGUCCAAACCAGUGAAGUAUUUCUCCCAAUGAUCACGUAAUGAAUUUAUCAAUAGAAAUUUG